Molecule: non-coding RNA, 358 nt
Organism: Pocillopora verrucosa
Lineage: Eukaryota; Metazoa; Cnidaria; Anthozoa; Scleractinia; Pocilloporidae
Source: RefSeq, a predicted model, not a curated record
AAAACAGCGCAGAGAUGUAAUAAACUUAGCUCUAAUAUAGUUUUCUCGGUUUCCUUGCGUUGUCUCUGUAGUUGGCAGAUAACGUCAGAAAAUGGGCGAAGGAUAAAGCCGACCUACAGAUGAAACUAAACGAAAGUCAGGUCGCUCAGAGGACAGGAUACAAAAAUUCGUCCACUUCUGUAGAUAUUCUGGACUGGCAUAAUGGACCAAAGCCAAAUUCACCUUCAAGACAUUUGGGUCCGCGACGACCGUCACCUAAACUGGAUCCUUUGGAGAGAAGAUAGCAUUUAGAACUUAGACAGUCUUAGUGGAUGAUUUCAUGAUCAGAGGACACUGGGCUCCAGCUAGGCAACAAUUA